GCCCCAGUGGCCUAAUGGAUAAGGCACUGGCCUCCUAAGCCAGCGAUUGUGGGUUCGAAACUAAUCUGAGAUG
Molecule: non-coding RNA, 73 nt
Organism: Danio rerio (zebrafish)
Lineage: Eukaryota; Metazoa; Chordata; Actinopteri; Cypriniformes; Danionidae
Source: Rfam